RNAcentral lists this ribosomal RNA (256 nucleotides) under uncultured bacterium. RNAcentral's name for it is "partial small subunit ribosomal RNA". It matches the Rfam family "Bacterial small subunit ribosomal RNA", at positions 26 to 280 of the family's 1533-position model. The record is from RNAcentral.
AGGACGAACGCUGGCGGCGUGCUUAACACAUGCAAGUCGAACGGUGAUCCAGAGCUUGCUCUGGUGAUCAGUGGCGAACGGGUGAGUAACACGUGAGCAACCUGCCCUUCACUCUGGGAUAACACCGGGAAACCGGUGCUAAUACCGGAUACGACCCGAGUGGGCAUCCACAUCGGGUGGAAAGUUUUUUCGGUGAAGGAUGGGCUCGCGGCCUAUCAGCUUUGUUGGUGAGGUAAUGGCUCACCAAGGCGACGAC